UACGGAGGAUGCGAGCGUUAUCCGGAUUCACUGGGUUUAAAGGGUGCGCAGGCGGACGAAUAAGUCAGGGGUGAAAUCCUACGGCUUAACUGUAGAACUGCCUUUGAUACUGUUCGUCUGGAGUAAAGUUGGAGUGGGCGGAAUGUGUUGUGUAGCGGUGAAAUGCUUAGAUAUAACACAGAACACCGAUCGCGAAGGCAGCUCACUAAGCUUUAACUGACGCUCAUGCACGAAAGCGUGGGGAUCAAACAGGAUUAGAUACCCUGGUAGUCCACGCUGUAAGCGAUGAUCACUCGCUGUUGGCGAUAUACAGUCAGUGGCUAAGCGAAAGUGAUAAGUGAUCCACCUGGGGAGUACGACCGCAAGGUUGAA
RNAcentral lists this ribosomal RNA (372 nucleotides) under uncultured bacterium. RNAcentral describes it as "bacterial SSU rRNA". It matches the Rfam family "Bacterial small subunit ribosomal RNA", at positions 524 to 898 of the family's 1533-position model. The record is from RNAcentral.